UACGAGGGGGGCAAGCGUUGUUCGGAAUUAUUGGGCGUAAAGGGCGCGUAGGCGGUGCGGUAAGUCACCUGUGAAAACUCUGGGCUCAACUCAGAGCCUGCAGGCGAAACUGCCGUGCUUGAGUGCGGGAGAGGCGAGUGGAAUUGCAGGUGUAGCGGUGAAAUGCGUAGAUAUCUGCAGGAACACCCGUGGCGAAGGCGGCUCGCUGGACCGCAACUGACGCUGAGGAACGAAAGCUAGGGGAGCAAACAGG
Molecule: ribosomal RNA, 253 nt
Filed under: uncultured bacterium
Lineage: Bacteria
Description: partial 16S ribosomal RNA
Rfam family: Bacterial small subunit ribosomal RNA
Source: RNAcentral